CCUACGGGUGGCUGCAGUGGGGAAUAUUGCACAAUGGGGGAAACCCUGAUGCAGCGACGCCGCGUGAGUGAAGAAGUAUUUCGGUAUGUAAAGCUCUAUCAGCAGGGAAGAAAAUGACGGUACCUGAUUACGCAGCCCCGGCUAACUACGUGCCAGCAGCCGCGGUCAUACGUAGGGGGCAAGCGUUAUCCGGUUUUACUGGGUGUAAAGUGAGCGUAGACGGCAGCACAAGUCUGGAGUGAAAUGCCGGGGCUUAACCCCGGAACUGCAUUGGAAACUGUGCAGCUAGAGUGCAGGAGAGGGAAGUAGAAUUCCUAGUGUAGCGGUGAAAUGCGUAGAUAUUAGGAGGAACACCAGUGGCGAAGGCGGCUUACUGGACUGUAACUGACGUUGAGGCGCGAAAGCGUGGGGAGCAAACAGGAUUAGAUACCCGUGUAGUC
This 440-nucleotide ribosomal RNA is filed under the name uncultured bacterium. RNAcentral describes it as "partial 16S ribosomal RNA". It matches the Rfam family "Bacterial small subunit ribosomal RNA", at positions 338 to 795 of the family's 1533-position model. The record is from RNAcentral.